UGGGGAAUAUUGCACAAUGGGCGCAAGCCUGAUGCAGCCAUGCCGCGUGUAUGAAGAAGGCCUUCGGGUUGUAAAGUACUUUCAGUCGGGAGGAAGGUGGUAAGGUUAAUAACCUUAUCAAUUGACGUUACCGACAGAAGAAGCACCGGCUAACUCCGUGCCAGCAGCCGCGGUAAUACGGAGGGUGCAAGCGUUAAUCGGAAUUACUGGGCGUAAAGCGCACGCAGGCGGUUGAUUGAGUCAGAUGUGAAAUCCCCGGGCUUAACCCGGGAAUUGCAUCUGAUACUGGUCAGCUAGAGUCUUGUAGAGGGGGGUAGAAUUCCAUGUGUGGCGAGGAAAUGCGUAGGGAUGUGGAGGAAUACCGGUGGCGAAGGCGGCCCCCUGGACAAAGACUGACGCUCAGGUGCGAAAGCGUGGGGAGCAAACAAG
This 429-nucleotide ribosomal RNA is filed under the name Chloroflexota bacterium. RNAcentral's name for it is "Chloroflexi bacterium partial 16S ribosomal RNA". It matches the Rfam family "Bacterial small subunit ribosomal RNA", at positions 355 to 776 of the family's 1533-position model. The record is from RNAcentral. Lineage: Bacteria; Bacillati; Chloroflexota.